ACCGAAAUGAAAUUAAGCUAAAGCUAAUGCAUUACCGCGUUAGAUUAUCUCAUUUUUAUAGUGCACCUUCUCUCUCUUCUAUUAAAACUUCAAAGCGUUCUCUGACUUCUCCAUCGAAGCGGCUUCUGAUCUUCUCCUCCAUUGGAGCAAUUUCUAAGGAUGGCAGAGCAAGAGGCUCCAUUUUUCCCAAGGGAGAAGAUUCUUGAGAGGCAAAAGUAUUUCCAAAGUGUCCAGAAGCAUACAUAUCUAAAAGGACCCCUCGACAAGGUCACCUCUGUUGCCAUUCCUAUUGCUCUUGCGGCUACAUCAUUAUUCCUGAUUGGUAAAGGGAUCUAUAACAUGUCUCAUGGAAUUGGGAAGAAAGAAUGAUGAUGCAAUAUUGCUUAUUGGCUGCUAAUAGGAUUGGCUAUAACUUGAUAAUUUUGUUGAAAUAUGCUUUCAAAUUGUAGUUCUGAUAAUUAUGUUGAAAUAUGCUUUCAAAUUGUAGUUUUGUUUUCCUUUCAAAGUGCUUAUCAGGCCUUUUCAUUCUAGUGCAGCAUUUUGCUUGGUAUUGAAAAGCAAUGCUUUUGUGCUAUUUGUACAUUUGUUUCUGAUUUCGCCGAAAAUAUUUUGAAUAAUUGGUCCGAGUCAUUUCUAGUUUACUCCAA
Long non-coding RNA from Chenopodium quinoa (quinoa), 647 nucleotides. RefSeq lists it as uncharacterized. The transcript is spliced from 3 exons. The record is from RefSeq and is a predicted model, not a curated record. NCBI's taxonomy places the organism in Eukaryota, Viridiplantae, Streptophyta, Magnoliopsida, Caryophyllales, Amaranthaceae.